UGGGGAAUAUUGCACAAUGGGGGAAACCCUGAUGCAGCUAUGCCGCGUGUGUGAAGAAGGUCUUCGGAUUGUAAAGCACUUUCAGCAAGGAAGAAAGCAAAUAUGCUAACACCAUAUUUGUGUGACGUUACUUGCAGAAGAAGCACCGGCUAACUCCGUGCCAGCAGCCGCGGUAAUACGGAGGGUGCGAGCGUUAAUCGGAAUUACUGGGCGUAAAGCGUACGCAGGCGGUUUAUUAAGUCAGAUGUGAAAUCCCUGGGCUCAACCUAGGAACUGCAUUUGAAACUAAUAAACUAGAGUAUCGUAGAGGGAGGUAGAAUUCCAGGUGUAGCGGUGAAAUGCGUAGAUAUCUGGAGGAAUACCAGUGGCGAAGGCGACCUCCUGGACGAUAACUGACGCUCAUGUACGAAAGCGUGGGGAGCAAACA
RNAcentral lists this ribosomal RNA (427 nucleotides) under uncultured Wigglesworthia sp. RNAcentral's name for it is "bacterial SSU rRNA". It matches the Rfam family "Bacterial small subunit ribosomal RNA", at positions 355 to 774 of the family's 1533-position model. The record is from RNAcentral. Lineage: Bacteria; Pseudomonadati; Pseudomonadota; Gammaproteobacteria; Enterobacterales; Erwiniaceae.